CUUUUAGGAUCCAGCGUAUCCAAAGAGCCCAAAACUGUUAUGGCUGGUCAGGAUGUUGUGUAAGGGCUACAGCAAGGCUCUACAGGAGAAUCACAGUUGAGAACCAUAAAAUUUUGGAGCAAAACUAUGUUCUCUUCAAGUAACUUUUCUUUUUCACUGAACACUUGAACGUGGCCCAUCAGAGAUCUGAGCUGUUCCCCAUGAACUGGAAGCUGUCUGAUCCACUAAGCAAAAAUUCACAAUAUAUUGAGGAUUAUUCCAUCAUUAAGUGGAAAUGAUUUACAGGAGGUCUCACUCCAGAAUGGUCUGAAAGCAAUGAGCUGAUCUCUCCAGCUGAGUUAUCUGGGUGUUGUGUCUUCACCUCAGAGUAGACAACUGAGACAUCCUGGAAUGGAAGAAAGAAGUGGAAACCAAGAGGGAGUAUGAGGCUGCAGACACCUGGAGAGAUACUGUGGGACCAUGGCUCGGCAGCACCUAACUUAGGAACAGCAAACUGCAUGAGAGAGAAUGAAAAUUGCACCAGUGAUUAGGGCGCCAAUUGAACCAACAGUGACUCUGAGAUUGCUCUGCAUUGGGACACCAUGAUGAAAUGGCAUCAGCCUCCUUCCUCAUAGAAGCAUGUGCCUGUGUGUUCUGAAGGGCAGGAGAGAAAAAAACGGAUGGUAAAAGUACACACAAUCAAUACAUUGUUAGGGGAUUUUGAUAUUUCCAUGGGGUCCAUUCUCCUAUCCUUUCAUCCACAGAAAAGGAGGUUUCAUUCAAUUUACUCAUUUAUACAGCAAGUAUUUACUGAGGCUACCCUGUGCCGGGCACUGAC
Molecule: long non-coding RNA, 817 nt
Organism: Rhinopithecus roxellana (golden snub-nosed monkey)
Lineage: Eukaryota; Metazoa; Chordata; Mammalia; Primates; Cercopithecidae
Exons: 3
Source: RefSeq, a predicted model, not a curated record